This 253-nucleotide ribosomal RNA is filed under the name uncultured bacterium. Its description in RNAcentral is "partial 16S ribosomal RNA". It matches the Rfam family "Bacterial small subunit ribosomal RNA", at positions 524 to 776 of the family's 1533-position model. The record is from RNAcentral.
UACGUAGGGUGCAAGCGUUGUCCGGAAUUAUUGGGCGUAAAGAGCUCGUAGGCGGUUUGUCGCGUCGAAUGUGAAAACCCGGGGCUCAACCCCGGGCCUGCAUUCGAUACGGGCAGACUAGAGUUCGGUAGGGGAGUCUGGAAUUCCUGGUGUAGCGGUGAAAUGCGUAGAUAUCGGGAGGAACACCAGUGGCGAAGGCGGAGACCUGGGCAGAUAUUGACGCUGAGGUGCGAAAGCGUGGGGAGCAAACAGG